This 333-nucleotide long non-coding RNA is filed under the name Gopherus evgoodei (Goodes thornscrub tortoise). RNAcentral describes it as "lncRNA (ENSGEVG00005007430.1)". Lineage: Eukaryota; Metazoa; Chordata; Testudines; Testudinidae. The record is from RNAcentral.
AGUCGCAAAUCUGAAUCAAGUCAGCAGACCAUCAGACAUGGAGAUGAGAGAAAUGCAGCCAAUUUGAACGUUGAGGGUGUGAAAACUUCAGGAAGUUGCUAGAAGAUCUGAGAUAUCUACAGAAAGGAAACAAGCAUAACUCACUGCUACCAAGAGGUGAAGGAAGUGAAUCUAUCCUUUGCUGUCAAAGGCUACAAGCAGUUUCAGAAGAAUAAAGCAAGAUACAUAACCAAAGCGUCUGAGGUUACAGAAAUAUUCACUUGUUCCAAUCAAGACUAAGGAAACCACCUAUACCUACUAGAUUUUGAACAGUACAGCUGAUUGUAUGGAGAG